Molecule: ribosomal RNA, 253 nt
Filed under: uncultured bacterium
Lineage: Bacteria
Description: partial 16S ribosomal RNA
Rfam family: Bacterial small subunit ribosomal RNA
Source: RNAcentral
UACGGGGGGAGCAAGCGUUGUUCGGAUUUACUGGGCGUAAAGGGCGCGUAGGCGGCCAGUUUAGUCAGAGGUGAAAGCCCAGGGCUCAACCUUGGAAUUGCCUUUGAUACUGGCUGUCUUGAGUUCGGGAGAGGUGAGUGGAAUGCCGAGUGUAGAGGUGAAAUUCGUAGAUAUUCGGCGGAACACCAGUGGCGAAGGCGACUCACUGGCCCGAUACUGACGCUGAGGCGCGAAAGCGUGGGGAGCAAACAGG